Molecule: ribosomal RNA, 303 nt
Filed under: Alphaproteobacteria bacterium
Lineage: Bacteria; Pseudomonadati; Pseudomonadota; Alphaproteobacteria
Description: bacterial SSU rRNA
Rfam family: Bacterial small subunit ribosomal RNA
Source: RNAcentral
AACGAACGCUGGCGGCAGGCUUAACACAUGCAAGUUGAGCGGGAUUGGUUGGUAGCUUGCUACUAAUCAUGAGAGCAGCGCACUGGUGAGUAACACGUGGGAACAUACCUUUUGGUGGGGGACAACAGUUGGAAACGACUGCUAAUACCGCAUACGCCCUGAGGGGGAAAGGAGAGAUUUGCCGAAAGAUUGGCCCGCGGAAGAUUAGGUAGUAGGUGGGGUAAUGGCCUACCUAGCCGACGAUCUAUAGCUGGUCUGAGAGGACGAUCAGCCACAUUGGAACUGAGACACGGUCCAGACUCC